Lolium rigidum is the source of this 886-nucleotide RNA transcript. It is a transcript of the gene named gibberellin-regulated protein 2-like, with no coding region annotated. The record is from RefSeq and is a predicted model, not a curated record. NCBI's taxonomy places the organism in Eukaryota, Viridiplantae, Streptophyta, Magnoliopsida, Poales, Poaceae. The transcript has 4 exons.
CCAUCAAUGGCUGCGAACCAGCAGCUUGUCACUCGUCGCCAUCUCCUUCUCCUUCUUCCUCCUCUGCUUGUGCUCCUCCUCGCUUCUCAUCACCAGGCUGCUGCUUCCGAUCCACUGGUGACGACGAUGCACGGCAUGAGAGCGAGGUCCCUGCUCCAGGCCCCAAAACUAGACUGCCCGAAGGUGUGCUACGGCCGGUGCAGCAACAACUGGAAGAACGAGAUGUGCAACGACAAGUGCAACGUCUGCUGCAAGCGCUGCAACUGCGUCCCUCCCGGCACCGGCCAGGACACCCGCCACAUCUGCCCCUGCUACGACACCAUGAUCAACCCGCACAACGGCAAGCUCAAGUGCCCGUAGGCCGUAGACAGACAUUCAGAAUUCUGCUAAGAAGUUGCAGACAGAGAUGCAUUUGCAGUGCUACGACACUAAACUCUGGUCUGGUUGCGACUCUAUAUUCUCUCACUUUUUUCUCCAACCAAUACCAAAGUGUGUGUCAAAAUAAUUGUAAAAAUGAAAUAUAUUCGCAGCUUGCCAACAGAUUUGUUCUUGCGCGGAUGCACUGGACGCGGAGCUAGCAGCUAUGGAGGAGGGCCUUGGCUUGACGCUGAACUGGACAAAUGAAGCUAUCACUGCGCCGAGGCGAUCAAGCUAGUCUCUUCUGACUUCUGAGUCUCCGAACCUGUCGUUGUAUGCCAACAGAGUUAGUGUUAUCAGAGAGAAUUAAGGAAAGAGAGAUAGAAAUAAAGAAGAUUAAUCGCGAGGCAAACCACGCAAGCCACGGGUUGGCUUCGCUAGGGAAAGGACAAAGUAAAAGUGAAAUUUGGUUUCAGAACUUUCGGCCAGAAAUCGCUGAUGCGAUCAAGGCUGACUGUAAUAUCCCUAC